ACAUGCUUACAUCAUAGCGCUAAUGCAUCAUAACUCAUUAGAACUCCGUAGUUAAGAGAACUCAGGCUAGAGUAGUACUGGGAUGGGUGACCGUCCGAGAAGUACUAGUGUUUUACAUGCC
Non-coding RNA from Picea glauca (white spruce), 121 nucleotides. NCBI's taxonomy places the organism in Eukaryota, Viridiplantae, Streptophyta, Pinopsida, Pinales, Pinaceae. The record is from Rfam.